Molecule: ribosomal RNA, 253 nt
Filed under: uncultured bacterium
Lineage: Bacteria
Description: partial 16S ribosomal RNA
Rfam family: Bacterial small subunit ribosomal RNA
Source: RNAcentral
UACGUAGGUGGCAAGCGUUGUCCGGGAUUACGGGGUGUAAAGGGCGUGUAGGCGGGACUGCAAGUCAGAUGUGAAAUUCCCAGGCUCAACCUGGGGGCUGCCUCUGAAACUGUGGUUCUUGAGUGCUGGAGAGGAAAGCGGAAUUCCUAGUGUAGCGGUGAAAUGCGUAGAUAUUAGGAGGAACACCAGUGGCGAAGGCGGCUUUCUGGACAGUAACUGACGCUGAGGAGCGAAAGCGUGUGGAGCAAACAGG